GAUGAACGCUGGCGGCGUGCCUAACACAUGCAAGUCGAGCGAACAGAUGAGGAGCUUGCUCCUCUGACGUUAGCGGCGGACGGGUGAGUAACACGUGGAUAACCUACCUAUAAGACUGGGAUAACUUCGGGAAACCGGAGCUAAUACCGGAUAAUAUAUUGAACCGCAUGGUUCAAUAGUGAAAGACGGUUUUGCUGUCACUUAUAGAUGGAUCCGCGCCGCAUUAGCUAGUUGGUAAGGUAACGGCUUACCAAGGCAACGAUGCGUAGCCGACCUGAGAGGGUGAUCGGCCAAACUGGAACUGAGACACGGUCCAGACUCCUACGGGAGGCAGCAGUAGGGAAUCUUCCGCAAUGGGCGAAAGCCUGACGGAGCAACGCCGCGUGAGUGAUGAAGGUCUUCGGAUCGUAAAACUCUGUUAUUAGGGAAGAACAAAUGUGUAAGUAACUAUGCACGUCUUGACGGUACCUAAUCAGAAAGCCACGGCUAACUACGUG
Molecule: ribosomal RNA, 497 nt
Filed under: uncultured bacterium
Lineage: Bacteria
Description: partial 16S ribosomal RNA
Rfam family: Bacterial small subunit ribosomal RNA
Source: RNAcentral